RNAcentral lists this ribosomal RNA (485 nucleotides) under uncultured bacterium. RNAcentral describes it as "partial 16S ribosomal RNA". It matches the Rfam family "Bacterial small subunit ribosomal RNA", at positions 27 to 507 of the family's 1533-position model. The record is from RNAcentral.
GAUUGAACGCUGGCGGCAGGCCUAACACAUGCAAGUCGUGCGGAUGAAGGGAGCUUGCUCCUGGAUUCAGCGGCGGACGGGUGAGUAAUGCCUAGGAAUCUGCCUGGUAGUGGGGGAUAACGUCCGGAAACGGGCGCUAAUACCGCAUACGUCCUGAGGGAGAAAGUGGGGGAUCUUCGGACCUCACGCUAUCAGAUGAGCCUAGGUCGGAUUAGCUAGUUGGUGGGGUAAAGGCCUACCAAGGCGACGAUCCGUAACUGGUCUGAGAGGAUGAUCAGUCACACUGGAACUGAGACACGGUCCAGACUCCUACGGGAGGCAGCAGUGGGGAAUAUUGGACAAUGGGCGAAAGCCUGAUCCAGCCAUGCCGCGUGUGUGAAGAAGGUCUUCGGAUUGUAAAGCACUUUAAGUUGGGAGGAAGGGCAGUAAGUUAAUACCUUGCUGUUUUGACGUUACCAACAGAAUAAGCACCGGCUAACUUCGUG